Molecule: ribosomal RNA, 326 nt
Filed under: uncultured eukaryote
Lineage: Eukaryota
Description: partial 18S ribosomal RNA
Rfam family: Eukaryotic small subunit ribosomal RNA
Source: RNAcentral
CCCUUAGAUGUUCUGGGCCGCACGCGCGCUACACUGAUGCAUUCAACAAGCCUAGCCUUGACCGAGAGGUCCGGGUAAUCUUUGAAACUGCAUCGUGAUGGGGCUAGAUUAUUGCAAUUAUUAAUCUUCAACGAGGAAUGCCUAGUAAGCGUGAUUCAUCAAAUCGCGUUGAUUACGUCCCUGCCCUUUGUACACACCGCCCGUCGCUCCUACCGAUUGAAUGUGUUGGUGAGGAGCUCGGAUUGGCAGCAGUUGGUGGUUCGCCACCGGCUAUUGCUGAGAAGUCCUCCAAACCGCCCCAUUUAGAGGAAGAAGAAGUCGUAACA